RNAcentral lists this ribosomal RNA (314 nucleotides) under uncultured eukaryote. Its description in RNAcentral is "partial 18S ribosomal RNA". It matches the Rfam family "Eukaryotic small subunit ribosomal RNA", at positions 1470 to 1796 of the family's 1831-position model. The record is from RNAcentral.
CCCUUAGAUGUUCUGGGCCGCACGCGCGCUACACUGAUGCAUUCAACGAGCCUAUCCUUGACCGACAGGUCCGGGUAAUCUUUGAAUCUGCAUCGUGACGGGGAUAGAUUAUUGCAAUUAUUAAUCUUCAACGAGGAAUGCCUAGUAGGCGCAAGUCAUCGGCUUGCGUCGAUUACGUCCCUGCCCUUUGUACACACCGCCCGUCGCUCCUACCGAUUGAUUGAUCCGGUGAAUUACAUAGAAUUUUGCGUUUUACAUGACGGAAGACGAAGUGUUUUAAACCUUAUCAUUUAGAGGAAGGAGAAGUCGUAACA